AUUGAACGCUGGCGGAAUGCUUUACUCAUGCAAGUCGAACGGCAGCACGGACUUCGGUCUGGUGGCGAGUGGCGAACGGGUGAGUAAUGUAUCGGAACGUGCCCAGUCGUGGGGGAUAACGUAGUGAAAAUUACGCUAAUACCGCAUACGAUCUAUGGAUGAAAGCGGGGGAUCGCAAGACCCCGCGCGAUUGGAGCGCCAGAUAUAAGAUUAGGUAGUUGGGGGGGUAAAGGACCACCAAGCCAACGAUCUGUAGCUGGUCUGAGAGGACGACCAGCCACACUGGAACUGAGACACGGUCCAGACUCCUACGGGAGGCAGCAGUGGGGAAUUUUGGACAAUGGGCGAAAGCCUGAUCCAGCCAUUCCGCGUGCAGGAUGAAGGCCCUCGGGUUGAAACUGCCUUUGUACAGAACGAAAAGGUUUCUACUAAUACUAGGAGCUCAUGACGGUACUGUAAGAAUAAGCACCGGCUAACUACGUGCCAGCCGCCGCGGUAA
RNAcentral lists this ribosomal RNA (499 nucleotides) under uncultured bacterium. RNAcentral's name for it is "partial 16S ribosomal RNA". It matches the Rfam family "Bacterial small subunit ribosomal RNA", at positions 30 to 523 of the family's 1533-position model. The record is from RNAcentral.